UAGGACUAUCUGCUGUCGAAAAUCCUCUACCAAUGGAUAAGACUUUGGUCUUAGUCUAAGUCUAGGCGAGUUUUUGAUUAGAAAGGAGCAAUAACCAACACUCUUGAUAGAAAAAGAAAUUGGUUAUUGUUCCUUUAUUGAGUGCUCUUUUCUUUACAUAAGUUUUUCUUUACUUCAACAUAAGAAAAAGUAUUCUAGUCUUAGGGAUUGGUUUAUGAUUGCGUAUCAUCCUUUUUUCCUUAGAUAUGAAUUUCGAAUUUAUAUACAUUCUUUUCAACCCUUUGUAAGGCUUUGGGAGAUUAUUAUCUUCUAGUUUUUUUUUUCAAAUAAAAUAGAAAGUUUAAAAUUUUCUGCUUCUUCUAUCUCAUAAUUAAAAUAAAAAAAUGUUAAAAAUUUACAAUCGAAAUGAAAUAUUUUCCAUUAUGAAUUUCUUUUUUUUUUUAUUUCMUUAAAAAWGUAAWAUUYUUUUUUUUUUUUUUUUUAGGGRUUAAAAAAAAA
This 498-nucleotide unclassified non-coding RNA is filed under the name Angophora woodsiana. Its description in RNAcentral is "partial miscellaneous RNA". The record is from RNAcentral. Lineage: Eukaryota; Viridiplantae; Streptophyta; Magnoliopsida; Myrtales; Myrtaceae.